This 268-nucleotide ribosomal RNA is filed under the name uncultured bacterium. Its description in RNAcentral is "partial 16S ribosomal RNA". It matches the Rfam family "Bacterial small subunit ribosomal RNA", at positions 88 to 354 of the family's 1533-position model. The record is from RNAcentral.
UGGUUUAGUGGCGGACGGGUGAGUAACACGUGAGCAACCUACCUUUCAGAGGGGGAUAACAGUUGGAAACGACUGCUAAUACCGCAUAACGUUGUAAAAGGGCAUCCAUUUACAACCAAAAGAGAAAUCUGCUGAAAGAUGGGCUCGCGGCCGAUUAGAUAGUUGGCGGGGUAACGGCCCACCAAGGCAGCGAUCAGUAGCCGGCCUGAGAGGGUGGACGGCCACAUUGGGACUGAGACACGGCCCAAACUCCUACGGGAGGCAGCAG